Molecule: ribosomal RNA, 253 nt
Filed under: uncultured bacterium
Lineage: Bacteria
Description: partial 16S ribosomal RNA
Rfam family: Bacterial small subunit ribosomal RNA
Source: RNAcentral
UACAGAGGGUGCGAGCGUUAAUCGGAUUUACUGGGCGUAAAGGGCGCGUAGGUGGUUGUGAUAGUGUGAUGUGAAAGCCCUGGGCUUAACCUAGGAAGUGCAUCGCAAACUACAUAACUGGAGUAUUGGAGAGGGUAGCGGAAUUUCCGGUGUAGCGGUGAAAUGCGUAGAGAUCGGAAGGAACGUCAAUGGCGAAGGCAGCUACCUGGCCAAAUACUGACACUGAGGCGCGAAAGCGUGGGGAGCAAACAGG